AAUAAAGUCAAUUGCCAAGAUAUUCUCUUCUUUAGUUUCGUAGCGUCUUGCGUUCGUAACUUCUUUUCGCGACCUAUACACGCAUUUCGGGACUCACUCAAUUUUAUUUGCUAAACAGAACGAAUUAAAAAAUGUCUAGAAAGAAAGAAUCAAACAAACAAAACCGAAAGCACAAGUAAAAGUAUGGAAAGAUAUAGGUAUACGGCCAGAGAAUGAGAGAAUGCGCAGCAUAGACGUCUAAGCUAAGCUCAUUAAGAUUCGAAUAACAAUAAAUUUUCCAUACCAGCCAGUGGAACGAUGGGUGUACGAGGUCAAAGACAUUUGUCAAGGAAGUCGAUAAGAAUUUUUAAUCUUAGAGAAUAACGUAACUUUAUUUGACACGUAUAGCUAAACAACUUUGAAAAGACCCCCGCGGAAGACUAAUGCGGGAAUCUUUUAAAUUCUUAAGCUUUAUAUGGCUACAUCUAUAUGUAUGUAUAUCACUUACAAGGAAAAAAUUGCGAAAAUCUAUGUUUUUAAAUGUUGGGAUGAUUAGGUAUCGUUCAAUCUCUGUAUAUCGCGUUCAUUUAUUGCACAUACGUGUAUCGAUUAAUGUAUGUAUGUAGAUUGUA
This is a long non-coding RNA of Hylaeus anthracinus, 611 nucleotides long. RefSeq lists it as uncharacterized. NCBI's taxonomy places the organism in Eukaryota, Metazoa, Arthropoda, Insecta, Hymenoptera, Colletidae. The transcript has 2 exons. The record is from RefSeq and is a predicted model, not a curated record.